GGAAGAGUCGCUUAAUGGUAGAGCACCUCACUGCUAACGAGGCGUGGUAAAACAUGUGUAGGUUCGACCCCUAUCUCUUCCGCCC
This 85-nucleotide transfer RNA is filed under the name Gammaproteobacteria bacterium. RNAcentral's name for it is "tRNA-Ser". It matches the Rfam family "tRNA". From Rfam's summary of the family: Transfer RNA (tRNA) molecules are approximately 80 nucleotides in length. Their secondary structure includes four short double-helical elements and three loops (D, anti-codon, and T loops). The record is from RNAcentral. Lineage: Bacteria; Pseudomonadati; Pseudomonadota; Gammaproteobacteria.